GACUGCUGUGCUAGCAAUCAGCGAGACUCCGUGGGCGUAGGACCCUCCGAGCCAGGUGCGGGAUAUAAUCUCGUGGUGCGACGCUUUUUAAGCCCUUCAGAAAAGCGCAGUGUUCGGGUGGGAGUGACCCGAUUUUCCAGGUGCCGCCCGUCACCCCUUUCUUUGACUCAGAAAGGGAACUCCCUGACCCCUUGCGCUUCCCAAGUGAGGCAAUGCCUCGCCCUGCUUCGGCUCGCGCACGGUGCGCGCACCCGCUGACCUGCACCCACUGUCUGGCACUCCUUAGUGAGAUGAACCCGGUACCUCAGAUGGAAAUGCAGAAAUCACCCGUCUUCUGCGUCGCUCACGCUGGGAGCUGUAGACCGGAGCUGUUCCUAUUCGGCCAUCUUGGCUCCUCCUGUAACAAUUUCUUGAGAUGGCUCCUCUUAGAACUAUGCAUCUCUCCUGAUACUUGGAUGCUUUUCCUCUGACUGAUGAAGAUCCUGAAUACCAAAGAGGGCCGCUGACAGGUCUAGGAGUACACUUCUAGCACCUAGCAGAGAGAGGCUUCACUACAUCAUGCUUCCUGACAUCUCUCCCUUUGAAGAGCAGUCAGACUCCUGCUUUGCUCUUCAGACUUAAUUUGGGGGUUUAACAGCCAUGUGAAGUGCUCACUCCCCCUUUGCCUUCUGCCAUGAUUGUGUGUUUCCUGAGGCCUCCCCAGAAGCUGAGAAGAUGCUUCCUGUACAGCCUGCAGAACUGUUUGAAUGAGAGAGGCAGAAGCACAUUUCCAAUCACUGGGGGAACCUGAGACCAUUCUUUCCAACCCAUUUUGCCAAAUGGAUGUCCUGAGGAAGGUGUUCCAAGAGAGGCGAUGUCAGGAUAGUGUCUGAUUGGAGGGUGCCCAAGGCACAUGGGAGAAUGUGGAAGAACUGGAAAGACUUGGGUGUUGCUGAUGUUAAAUUACUUAGGUAUCUCUGUAGAAACUUAGUGGGUCAUUCCUUCUCUUCACAAUCCCUUUCUUAAAUUUAUGAUAAACGUGAAAGGUAAUCAAAACAAAAGCAGGGCAAAAUGGGAAAAUAAGUUCCCACUUUAACUUUUUCUGGAUUAUUUAAAGGUCUACUGGGGCAAAUGUGAUGAAAAUUAAAAAAAAAAUUGCAGAUCAUCAGUGUUUAAAAGCAAAUGCUUUCUGAAAAUUAUAGCUUGUAUGUUAACAUGAUUUGUUGAAAUCUGUUUUU
Molecule: long non-coding RNA, 1217 nt
Filed under: Homo sapiens (human)
Lineage: Eukaryota; Metazoa; Chordata; Mammalia; Primates; Hominidae
Description: HSALNT0173239
Source: RNAcentral